RNAcentral lists this RNase P RNA (297 nucleotides) under Methanobacteriota archaeon. RNAcentral describes it as "Euryarchaeota archaeon RNase P RNA component". It matches the Rfam family "Archaeal RNase P". From Rfam's summary of the family: Ribonuclease P (RNase P) is a ubiquitous endoribonuclease, found in archaea, bacteria and eukarya as well as chloroplasts and mitochondria. Its best characterised activity is the generation of mature 5'-ends of tRNAs by cleaving the 5'-leader elements of precursor-tRNAs. The record is from RNAcentral. Lineage: Archaea; Methanobacteriati; Methanobacteriota.
GGGAGCAGGAGGGUUGCUGACAGUGUUCGACACUGAGGAAAGUCCCCUCUCCGCAGCGCAGGCGGUCCGGCACAAGCCGGAGGCCCGGGAGGGUCGGCUCUGGAGCAGAAACGAACCAGCAUGGGUGUGUACAGUGAACCCGGAAGGGAGAGGUUGCCCACCGCUGGCUGAGACGAGCAUCCCCGCCGGAGCAAGUCCGAACAGUUCCUUGAGGCGCGCUGAAGAGGAACGGGUAGGACGCACAGUUGAAUGCAACCAGCCAUUCGGUGAACAGAAAGGGGCUUACUCCCUGCUCCC